UUUACAAGGUAUGGUAAUUUGAUGCUAUUAUCUUGUUCAAAUUGUUGGUCAUUUAUUAAACUGCAUACGGGGCAUCUAUGGGCCAUAACAGGAUAAAUGACAAUGGUAUGAGGUAACAACACUUUGCAUUGUCCAUGAUUUUUGCAAUCAAAAGAUAAAAUGAUUUUGCAGUACUGACUACUGACAUGCCUGUCUAUUGGUAUUAAAGAAAAGCUGUAUUCAUAAUGAUUGUGUGAUUAUGCCCUCUCUUUUUCCUCCCUUCUUCUAUGCCACCACCAAAAUAAUAAUAAUAAUGAUAAUGAUAAUAAUAAUAAUAGAGAUCAUCCC
This 327-nucleotide unclassified non-coding RNA is filed under the name Hevea brasiliensis (rubber tree). Lineage: Eukaryota; Viridiplantae; Streptophyta; Magnoliopsida; Malpighiales; Euphorbiaceae. The record is from RNAcentral.